This 429-nucleotide ribosomal RNA is filed under the name uncultured bacterium. Its description in RNAcentral is "bacterial SSU rRNA". It matches the Rfam family "Bacterial small subunit ribosomal RNA", at positions 355 to 776 of the family's 1533-position model. The record is from RNAcentral. RNAcentral also lists the same sequence under 1 other name.
UGGGGAAUUUUGGACAAUGGGGGCAACCCUGAUCCAGCAAUGCCGCGUGUGUGAAGAAGGCCUUCGGGUUGUAAAGCACUUUUGUCCGGAAAGAAAUCGCACUUACUAAUAUUAGGUGUGGAUGACGGUACCGGAAGAAUAAGGACCGGCUAACUACGUGCCAGCAGCCGCGGUAAUACGUAGGGUCCAAGCGUUAAUCGGAAUUACUGGGCGUAAAGCGUGCGCAGGCGGUUGUGCAAGACCGAUGUGAAAUCCCCGGGCUUAACCUGGGAAUUGCAUUGGUGACUGCACGGCUAGAGUGUGUCAGAGGGGGGUAGAAUUCCACGUGUAGCAGUGAAAUGCGUAGAGAUGUGGAGGAAUACCGAUGGCGAAGGCAGCCCCCUGGGAUAACACUGACGCUCAUGCACGAAAGCGUGGGGAGCAAACAGG